CKGCGCGKCUACACAUGCAGUCGACGAUGAAGCCCUUCGGGGUGGAUUAGUGGCGAACGGGUGAGUAACACGUGGGCAAUCUGCCCUUCACUCUGGGACAAGCCCUGGAAACGGGGUCUAAUACCGGAUAACACCGGCUUCCGCAUGGGAGCUGGUUGAAAGCUCCGGCGGUGAAGGAUGAGCCCGCGGCCUAUCAGCUUGUUGGUGGGGUAAUGGCCCACCAAGGCGACGACGGGUAGCCGGCCUGAGAGGGCGACCGGCCACACUGGGACUGAGACACGGCCCAGACUCCUACGGGAGGCAGCAGUGGGGAAUAUUGCACAAUGGGCGAAAGCCUGAUGCAGCGACGCCGCGKGRGGGAUGACGGCCUUCGGGUUGUAAACCYYUUUCAGCAGGGAAGAAGCGAAAGUGACGGUACCKGCRGAAGAAGCGCCGGCUAACUACGUGCCAGCAGCCGCGGUAAUACGURGGSCGCAAGCGUUGUCCGGAAUUAUKGGGCGUAAAGAGCUCGUAGGGCGGCUUGUCACGUCGGGUGUGAAAGCCCGGGGCUUAACCCSGGGUYCUGCAUCCRAWACGGGCRGGYUAGAGUGKGGUAGGGGAGAUCGGAAUUCCUGGUGUAGCGRAAAARGGGRRAAAAAAA
RNAcentral lists this ribosomal RNA (640 nucleotides) under Streptomyces sp. AK-41. RNAcentral describes it as "partial 16S ribosomal RNA". It matches the Rfam family "Bacterial small subunit ribosomal RNA", at positions 40 to 696 of the family's 1533-position model. Lineage: Bacteria; Bacillati; Actinomycetota; Actinomycetes; Kitasatosporales; Streptomycetaceae. The record is from RNAcentral.